AUAUUGUCAAUAAAAAUAUUUUCUAUGCAAAAGCCAUGCCCUAGCUAAGACUGAUACUCGCUUAUUAAAAGGCAAUUCAAAAAUAUAUGCUCCAAGUUUUUAUAUUGUUUUGCAUUAGACAGAAUGUGAUUAGAUACUGUUAAUCAACUGCAACAUGCUGCUCUCAGCUUCAUCUCAACAGCAUGUAAAAGAUUUUGUGCCUAAUGUAAAUCCAUGUGGAUUUAUCUUCUUAUGAAGCUUCUAAGAGACAGUUGUAUUAAAAGAACAAAAAUAUUGUGGCACUGCCUAAGAAUGAUUUGCUAUUUCUGUUCACACUUUCGUUGUAAUUUCUUUUUGUGGUGUGCAUUACUUGAAACUUCUGUCUUCAUUUUAAUUGCAGGAAAGAAUAAGCAAUUCAGAAAAAGAAAAUUAACUUUUGAAGAAAAACUAUAAUAAGCUGUGUGAGUGUCUUCUGUAUGACCCAUGAACAGCAGUGGAAAUCAAAGGAACAGCAAAUGAAACUGCAAAUUGCUAAACUAGAGAUGGCUAUCAAAUCUGAUUUAGCAGACAAAAAUGCAAUCUUUGACAAGAUCAAAGUAGAAAGAGGAAAUUGAAAAGUCUGGAUUAAAAUUAUAUCACUUAGUUUUACUAAGUCAUGAAUUACGCUAGAUGAAAUACAGCAGCUGAGUUUAGAAUGCAGGUGAUACAAUUUCCCUGCAGAGGACACUCCACUGUCACUUCCAAACCCAACAGGUGGGCAGAAGAGUGACUGUAACUACAGCACUGUGCUCAGUGAGACCCCAGAAGAUGAGCAGGAACUUUAAUGGGAAAAUACUGAUUUUGCUGAAUCUGUUUGAAAAAGGAGCCAAGAAAUACCAUUGAACAAGACACUGAUGUGUUUGAUUCACAAGAUGAUAGUGCAGUAAUUGGAAAGCUCAAAGGAGCAGUGGAAGCUCUCCAUGCACUGCCCUCAGUGGAGAGGGGAAUGCAAAGAUGACUACGAGGCAUGAAAGGAAGUUUGCCUACAGAAGAUCCUUCUCCCAGUGUAAAUACAUGCUUGAUAGUGCAUCAAAGAUGAGAUCUUUGUAAUUCCUACAGUAUAUUUAAUGUAUAAUUUAUGUGAAAAGGACGCUUGAUUUGUAGUUGUAAAGUUUUGUAUACUUUUCAGUCUGUUUGUUUUUAUAUUUCCCCCCUAGGCUAAGAAUAUCUCCACAAUGGACAACGUCUUGUAAAUAAUUAAUACCUACAUGAUUGAACGAUGUGCUUUAUUUGCAUUUUUAAGAUUUUUUUUCCUACAUAAAACAGUAAUAAAAAUGCAAGUCAAAA
Sturnus vulgaris (Common starling) is the source of this 1305-nucleotide non-coding RNA. NCBI's taxonomy places the organism in Eukaryota, Metazoa, Chordata, Aves, Passeriformes, Sturnidae. The record is from RefSeq and is a predicted model, not a curated record.